RNAcentral lists this ribosomal RNA (491 nucleotides) under uncultured bacterium. RNAcentral describes it as "partial 16S ribosomal RNA". It matches the Rfam family "Bacterial small subunit ribosomal RNA", at positions 29 to 506 of the family's 1533-position model. The record is from RNAcentral.
AGUGAACGCUGGCGGUAGGCCUAACACAUGCAAGUCGAACGGCAGCACAGUAAGAGCUUGCUCUUACGGGUGGCGAGUGGCGGACGGGUGAGGAAUACAUCGGAAUCUACUUUUUCGUGGGGGAUAACGUAGGGAAACUUACGCUAAUACCGCAUACGACCUACGGGUGAAAGCAGGGGAUCUUCGGACCUUGCGCGAUUGAAUGAGCCGAUGUCGGAUUAGCUAGUUGGCGGGGUAAAGGCCCACCAAGGCGACGAUCCGUAGCUGGUCUGAGAGGAUGAUCAGCCACACUGGAACUGAGACACGGUCCAGAAUCCUACGGGAGGCAGCAGUGGGGAAUAUUGGACAAUGGGCGCAAGCCUGAUCCAGCCAUACCGCGUGGGUGAAGAAGGCCUUCGGGUUGUAAAGCCCUUUUGUUGGGAAAGAAAAGCAGCAGGUUAAUACCCCGCUGCUCUGACGGUACCCAAAGAAUAAGCACCGGCUAACUUCGU